Bombus huntii is the source of this 8824-nucleotide long non-coding RNA. RefSeq lists it as uncharacterized. The transcript is spliced from 4 exons. NCBI's taxonomy places the organism in Eukaryota, Metazoa, Arthropoda, Insecta, Hymenoptera, Apidae. The record is from RefSeq and is a predicted model, not a curated record.
CAAAUAAAAUUAAGUUACUUAAUUAUUGAAUGCAUUUUGUAGGUAAGAAGAAUUAAAUAAACUUAGGUUAUAAUAGAAAAAUGUAAAAAUUAUCGAUCAGUUUUCCAAAAUAAUUCCUGCGUAUGACGUGUCAUAGUGUAAUAUACAAUGAUUUUCCUAUUGAAGGUUACUGUAACAGCGACACCCGGCGUAGAAGCCCCCUGCAGCAAGUCAGUCCCAGUGGUGUAAUGUUUAUAUUAGCCGGUGCAUCGUCGAGCCUGUGGGCUUCAUUCAUCGCCCCUCCCCUUCCCCAUCGACGUGUUUCUUUUGUAUAUAAUCUCGUUAAUUUUUUCAGUUCGUACAAUCACACGGGGCUAUAGACACACGACCUUUUGUAUUUUGUACAGUGACCACAAUGGUAUUGGACAUCAAUAAGAAUUUCAUGUUGGCGAAUCUCGAUUUAUAAUCACUGCCCAUUGAUAAAAUUAAAAUCUUAUAUUUUAUACUUGACGUUUCAAAAAUAAAAUACUCGACAGUUUAUCUGCUAAAAAGAAAAAUGACAAAAUAGUGGAAUUUAGGAUUUUAAUAUUUGAAAGUCAUUAGGAAUGUUGCUUGCUGAAUAUUAAUGCGAAGUUUUUUUAUAAAUAUGUUUUAGCACGUUAUAUAAUAUUAACAUUAAUUUCUUUUCAGACGCGAGUCAUUUGUCUUAAGUGGAUUAAUAGAAACAAUCAAGUUCAAAGUAAUUGAUACACGAGAUCAAUAUUAACAAAAAAUUAACAAGGUGAACCUGCAAGUGCAGGAUAUGAUGCAGUUCUGAGCGAGAAAUGGAUCUAAUUUUACCGCUAAAUGCAUUGAAUCCCUGUCCCUCUGAAAUUUAUCGUCACGUGUAUCGGCGAAAAUUCUCCCCCGUUUAGAGUGUGAUGCAGAUAGGAGCUCCCUUUUUUUCUUUUUCUUGCUCUAUUCAGCCUCUUUAUGUCGAGAGGCCUCGUGAUCGUGUCACGAGAGAGCGAAUUGAUGAAAUCAGAAAUGCAGAUCAUGACGGCACAAUUGGGAUUAAAUGUAUCGUCUGUGGUUGAGGGUGGAAACAAGGAAAAAAUGAGAUCUCGCAUCCCUUUUAGAGCAGCCAGAGUGAUAAGCGGAUUUUUGAUCGAUCUUUUUUCUUUAGUAGACAAUAGUCACAUUGGUCAUAGCAACUUUUUAUGCUGAAGCUAACGUGGGAAGAUGAUAUUCUGUGAGUUUUUUUUUUUUAAUAUCAUGAUAUGAUAUUAUAUUAUGAUAUUAUAUGAUAUGAUAUUAUUUUUUAUAUAAUCGUAGGUAAUUGCUUCUAGGAUAUACUUUAAUAUUUAAAACGAGUUUAAAGAGGCCGAAGGGACUUCGUUCCAUUUUAAUCCCCUUUAAGAGACCCAUUUUGGCCCUAGACAGAAAGGGAACACUCUUUGCACCUACUCUUUGCUGUCAGAGUGCGGACUAGCCUCCAUUUUCUCUACUCUAAAAGCCUUCUCGUAACAAAAAGCUACAACCUGAAAAUAUUUCAAGCAAUCCUACUUGAACCUUACAUUGGAACUAAUACUUAGAAAACCAGUAAAUCCUUCGUUUUCCAUCAUAUACCCUUCCCUUAUGAUUAUCGUUUAAAACUGAUCUCUCUUUUUUCACAAGACCAAUAUAAAAUAUGAAUAAAACUCUACGAUACUUUUUUGGUCCACCGUCAUUCGAUAUUUCUUAGAAGAGUUUUACAAAGAAUGCUCCCAUAGCUGACAGUCUUUUUCUCACGUUUUCCGCUUGAGAAGCUACGGUCAUUCAGCCGCGACUCAUUUCGUCGUUUAAUCCUACAUGCACUUGACUCGAGAGACCGCGUGCAACCUGUGCCCUAUAUUCGCAUGGGGGUAACCGAACCCCAGAAACACCCUCAAGGAUCCAGCGAGGGCUACAACGUUUAAAAUAAAUUUCAAUUCAGAGCCAGAAGGGGUGUGUAUCACUUUCACUAGACCUCUGUCGUGUUUAACGAGCUAUUGAUAUCUUCCACCCACCAGAACUCCCCUCUGUAGAGUGGUAAGGAUAUAUACGUAUGUAAGCUACGUACUCUAGUCGUUAGCGGCCCCUUUCCUGGCCCCCUUUUUUGACCAGGAAAACCGCCACAUGUGUGUGAUAUGUGUUAAAGCCCAGGCGAGAUCUACAGUGAUUCCAUUCUAAAGUCUUGCCCUAUGGGAAAGUUCAGGUGCUCCAGUGGUUGUGGUUAAACCAGAAAAUUAGGUUCACGGUGAACUACCGAUGUAGGGCGAUCGAUUGUGGGAAGUUUUGCAAGAAGCUUGACCAGUCUUCCCUUAUGGGACAAACUGUAUCGAGUGUUACGCCUGAUGGAAUUGCAUUCAAUGAAAUUUUAUGGUGUAUAGAGAAGCAAGUAUUUUUAGCAUAUUUAUUCGAAGGUAGCCUGAAUACGGGUAAUAUUUCUUUCAUUCUUUACGGUAUCCGGGCCAGUUUCCUGUCACCUUCUUUUUAAAAAAUCAUAGCGAGGAGAUGAGACGAUUAAUUCCAGACAUUUUUCUUGAGAACAGUGCAGUUUCCUGCACGAACAUCAUCGACUAUAGAAAUCCAAGGCGACAAAGCACAGGAAUUCUUUGAAAGGACAAAACAGUUCGAGCCUCAGAUUUCUAUCCUCCUCGUCGUGAAUGGGAAACAUGUGAAAAAGGGGCCAGGAAGUGCGUACACCCACGAGGAUCUAUUGCGACACAAUAAACGCUGCUGACCGCGUUUUUCUUGCUUUUAUCCUCUACGUUCGUUCAUCUUUAACGCAAUAUUAGAAUCCAUUCAUUGAGAAAAACUUCUAUCAAUUAGAAAACUCUAUACUCUAAAUUAUUCCUUUAUAAACAGAUUCAGUUAUGUAUAAUUAGAAAGGUACGAUAUUUAAUCAUCUACUUUAAAAUGUUAUAAAAAAUACCUCCUCCUUAAAUUUAAAUAUCUAGUCUGUGUAAAAGUUUUCUUAUUACAAUUUUGAAAAUUUGUUUAAUCAAAUGAAACUAAUUGCACGUACAUAUGUUCCUUUAGCCACAAGUGUAAGAACACCAAAGAUAAUUGACAAUGGAGAAAAUUUCACGUACCUAUAUACAAUCGGUUCACUAGGGCGAUUAUAAUACCCUGGCAGAUUCAUGGCGGCGAUAUCUAACAAUAAGUUCUAAAAGAAUCUUAUUGACCUGUUAAGAUACGAGAGAGAAAGAAACCGUGGCAGCUGGCCUGGAAGAUCGUUGCGGAUCCUCCUCCUUUAUAGAAUCCUAUAUAAAUCGUGGACCGUGCCUUUCUACGGGGAAACACGUGCCAGCCACAUGUUGCAUAAAAGGAAUCGUCAGUGGUCCUUUCGAAUAUCUAUAGCGUAAAGUCGCAAUCACAAAGGAGCUUUAGAGCCUAUAAAUGAUUCUCUUUCGACCGAAGGAUACGAAACAGCGGCAGAUGUUUUCCGUCUUUAUCUCUUCAAACAUGUCGAAUUCGGGCCAACAGGCUGGCUGCGCAUGCAUCUAAUCGCACAACCUACGAUCAUGGAACGGAACGAUUCUUAAGAACGAACACGUGGUUGUGACCAUCUGUUAGCAUCCUGCUUCGUUCAUCCUACCCUAAGUUAGAGCCUUUUCGCCUCGCUAGUUCUUUCCUCCUGCACCUAGAAGAUCGACACAUAAGCAUCAAUCCUUUCAAGGCUAUUUGAUUUUUUAAACUCCAAGGACGAAUUGAAAGCUGUUUAAAUUACAUCGUAUAACAAUAAAGUAAUGGACCAUUAACUAGAAGAGAAUUAUAGAAUACAGAAGAAUGAAAAAUGCACAGAAUAGAAUAAAUCAAUAACAUAACACGAUAAACACGACAACAGAACAGAUGAAAUCCUCAAUCCCGAAAAUUAAUCCUCAUAAAAUACCAAAAGCAAUUUAUAUCGAGUUUCUCAGAGAAGUUUAAACACUAAGGAUCUCAGCUUCUUAUCACCUUCACCAACUCUUCAUGAAACCACUACAAGGAACACAAGGCGUAAACUUUCCCAGCAUGCAAUACGCUCAAAUAUUUAGUUUAGGGGGCGACAUCGUUCGCUUUUAGUUGAGAGUCAGAGAUUUUAAGAGGUGCGUGAAAGACCGUCACAUGUUCUCCGCUUUUUUGCUCAUCAUCAGCCGCUCCGAAUUUAUUUUUACUAACGAAGAGGUACGUUCUUGCGUCGCCUACUUGUCAUAGGACACCAUCGACGACUGGAAUAACAUUUCCACGGAGGAAUAACCGUCGCAUAUGAGUCAAAGUUGUAAAAGCUAGAAUAUCGCGGAGAUCGUUUAGGCGGGCCGCUUUGUGUCCUCGGUAAAAGGUGUCCCAAGCAGGUAAAACAUUCCUAUUGAAACGGUUCUACCUGACCCACCUGGCUUUCACGCUACAUUUUCGGCUCGACAACAGUUUCUCCCCAUGCAUAUGGAUAUCAAAAAAGGACUAGCUACAUAAAACGCAGAAUCUCCGUUAGCUAGAUCAAAAAUAUAUCGCCAACAAUCUGUACAUAUAUUGAAAACAAAAUUUUCAUUAAUUACACUGGUUAGAUAAAAAAAUUAAAGUAUCUUUAAUUUAUAGUAUUCAAGCACGAGUAUAUGUUUGACAGUUAAUAGCGCAUAUAUAUAUUUGAUUGGUCGACGAAUUAUCUUCAAAGAAAAUUCGAAGGGAGAUCUUAAGUUGGCUGGAAGUAUUGAAGAAGGUUCUCGAAAUCACAGCUUAAGAACCCAAUAUCGAAGGCUUUCGAAAAAGCUUGGAUAUUACUUGUCGACUGUAAAUCUCUCCCUUUGGAAGACCGCCUUCAUUCGAUAAAUGAUAUUUCUCAACCGUAACGUAUUUUCUUUGCAUGUACGUCAAUUCUUUAAAAAUACGACGCUCGAAGUCGAGCGAUUUAUUCUUUAUUUUUCAUCUUAUUUUAUUGUAUCUUUCAUUAAGAUAGAUUUCAAUUCGAUUAAUCACAUUGUAGUUUCGAACGUGGUCAUAGAGCGACGCGACAAGAAUUAAUUGCUCCUGAUUUUGAGACUAAACGUGGCUGGGUGUCAUAGAUAGUUUUGGAGAACAGGAAACGUGCGACGGGGCUGUUUCUUCGCUGGACAUCCGGCUCGCCAUGCGUCUGCGUGUGUCUUGCUUGACGUCACAACACACACCUGCUUCCUCACAGCUGUUCCCCAGUCCGUGGUGGCAAACUCCCUUGACAAAUAGUUUUAUACCACCGCGUCCAUCUCCCUUUAGAAUUUUUCUUUUUCGAAAAAUCUCGGUCGGCGUGCUUGGACUAUUCCUUCCGUUUCACAAGUAAAAAGAGAAUUGGAUUUGUCUUUUUAUAAUAACUAUUUGACUUCAUAAAUUAUAUCGCACAUGUGUUUCAAAUGCCGUGUGUCGAAAGAACAUCAAAACCAUCGCAUCAGGAUGUCAAGGGCAAAGAAUGUAAAAUUACAAAAAUAAUAUUUAACCAUUGUUUUCUAGAAUUUAUUCUUUUUAUCAACAUUAUAAACAGUUUCUCAUUUUUUCUGAAAAUCUUAUUUCAGUGGCGUUACUUUAGGAAAAUAUGUGCGAUAUGGUAAUUUAUUAUAAAUCUUCAUAUCCUUUCCUGAAGCUUAAAGUUUACAAUCAAUUUUUUAUGAAGAUAUAUCAUGGAUCUUUUUCUUUACGUAUCUGUACUGUGGAAAAACUAUAUAGGAGGAUAAUGGGAGAAUCUUGUAACGUGUUGAUGAAACGAUACUAAAUCCUUUCCGGAUAGUUAGACUCGCGAUUCUCCCAUAAUCUCUGGGUCGUGUCAGUUCGGUUUACGAUUUAUCUGCUCGGCUGCCUGUCCAUUUCAUUUUUUAUUUAUAUUUCAGGGAAGUAUCGCACUGGGAGCUACCAACCCUCUAUGAACGCAAGGAUACGUGUUUUACAAACGCCAUAUACACACACACACACACAUACAUCGAUUGAUCCAGUCGCAACAGAUGCAAGAACUGUGUUAUUUCCUUCUUCAUCUCUCCCGCUACCGCCUCUUUUUCCUUUGGCUCUCCUUUUUUCUCAUUGGGAUGCACGUACUCCCCAGAGACAUUUCUGGAAGGGAUGACGAACCCGACUGGUUAACUAGAGUAUUGUUCGAUUAUUAUUUCGGUACAUAUCGCGCACUUGUUAUCUCUUUGUGCGGUCAUAUGGUGGUCUAAGGGUGAUCUCACCGCGGAUGACAGAUCUGUCGUAUGGAAUCGUCAGAAGUAUCCGUAUUCAUCCACAAUUUCAUACUACUAUCAUAAUAUUUCAUUCAAUCCAUACAAGGAAUUUUUUACGAAGAAUUAUUUAAAACAUAAAUUUUAAAUCUAAUUUAUACUAUCUUAGCUUUCGAGGUUCAAUGAUCAUGGUUAUUUCUUUCUCAUAGAUAUUUAAUUUUGAAAUAGUCACUAAGGGAAAACUUCGUAAUUUUUUCAACAGGCGGAAAACCUUAACGGAUGGAUAAUGAUGUUCAGGGCGUAUCUGCGGUGAAUCGUACGGGGUGUUCUUACCUUUCCCCGACCACAGAGUAUCGAUGAUGCUGACGAGGGUGUUCAGAAAGUUAUUAUACAGGGGCACUCUUCUAUUCUAUGGUUCCCAUGGAACAACAUCAGGGGUCUGCAACUUCCAUGCAACCUGUGCCAACCUGUAAUUUCCGGUCGUAGAACAAUCCUCAGUUAUCUUUUUACAUCAUUACCAGUUAUCAUAUCAUUAAUUGCAUCUUCAUUCAUCUUCGUACUAUGUAUUCCUUUCUAUAAUUCUUUACGAUUUCAUCUUUUUAGAUAUAUCAACAUAGCGACAUUCCGAAGAGACAACGACGAAGCAAAGGAAUGACAGAAAGAAAAAGUAUAAGAAAGAAGAAAGCGAAGAAGACGAUGAUAAAAGGAGAAAGGGAGGACAAUGAUCCUCGAGAACGCAGAAAACAUCUGCUCUGGCUCCGGAUCGCAGCGUGUCCUCCUUCAAUGAGAGGCGAUUGCGUUGUGAAACUUGUCCCACCUCGGCGCGUAUAGGUAUUCAUUAUCCUCGUCUCUGGUGCCUGGUCGAUCCUUUUUCCGCACGAUCUUUUUUGGUCCAUGGAACAUCUGCGGCAGCUGCGAGGCGGUGGCCUGCCGCAGCGUACACGGAACGAGGCAGGUGCUUACCUUCGAAGAAGCUUCUCCAUCUAGCCCUGCCAAUUACGCGUGCCUCUUUCUGCCUCUCCCACUCUCCCCUGUCUCUUCCUCGUCUCCCUUCGUUCGUCUCUUUGCAAUUUUUUCACCGAUACCCGCUGAAUAAUCGAGUAUAAUUAAAUAGUCUGAAUUAUAGUUUCGAAGCGGUCGAAUAUGUUCUAAUAAUCUAUUGAAGUUUUGAGGAUUAGACGUUUGCCUUAAUAAUUACUUGGCGUUGCAAAGAAAAGUUUGAUGAUGUUUAUCUUAUACGAAGUUCAUGGAUCAUUGUAAUGAAACUUGUACUCUUUGAUACUACAUCAUACAUCGUGAAGAUACACAUAGGAGACAUCUAUGUCUAUAAUUUCUUGAGAAAAAGCGUACACUUUAAUGUAUCAUUUCUACGCUUCAGUGAAUUAUCUUGGAUAAGCCAUGGCAAUUCUCGACAAAAGGGAAAGCAAUUGUUUUUGGGAAACGAGAAGAAAGAGAAAUAAUGAUCCAUGUCUGAACUACAUUUUUUAUCGUAGUAUCUGUUCUCUGUCUCUCUACGACAACGGUCGAAGAAGAGAUUUGACAUAAGUGAUGGUACCUUGGAAGUUCGUCGUCCCCAUCUUCAUUUUUUUCUCGCCCUCUUGCGACGCGAGAUCCUUUAACCACGGGCAAAAUCGAGGCACGUGCACCAAGUUGCACACGGCCAAUCUCUUUCUUCUCUUCAUCCAACCGGGGAGAAAAAAAAUAUUACAGCAGCGUGCUCGCGCGCUCCUGAUCAUCGCCUGCUCGCGAAAACUUGCUGCCCCGUUGAAUUAUAGACUAUCCACGCGGGCUUUAUAGGUUAAUAAUAGAGACGUGAAUAUCGAUGAACAUAUAAUAACGACUCGUGAGUACUUAUUUUAAAGUACAAGUAUAAAUCAGCCAGUUCUUACAAUUAUAUAGUUAAUAGCCAGCAGCCACGUAAGAAGAUAUAAAGCAUUCUACAGAGUGACACAAAAGUAACGCGAUACAAUGUCUUAAGUACCUGAAAAUGAUUUGCUAUGAAACACGUAGCUUAUAUUUAUAUAUCUUAAUUUGUAUAUUUUCAGUAAGUCCUCUUGUACAUCAUUUUUAUAUAUAAUUCCAAUUGAAGUAAGUAAGUAGAAGUUUCUAAGCUGCAACUUUGAAUCGUUUCAGAUCCAGCGGGAAAUUUUAUGCUCUGUUCAAGACGUACGUACUCGAAAAACAGCACAUAUAGUAGGAAGGCUUCUCAAGGAUUCAGCUAGAUAUCAAAGAGAUUCACAGGAAGAACAUGGUUAUUUAUAUUGCAUGUUAGCAUAUGAAGAUUACGCAGAAAUGUAUGUAUAUGCGUUACUAAUCAACCACGAUCGACUUAUCUCAGAGGGCUUUUAAAAAUGGUUAAGACAUCUUGAAGGGACGGGAAAGUUUCCGGGGCUCGACUACGCGGCCUUCUCGGAUUCCAUAUCUAGCAGCUGCCCUCUUAGGGCUCCGUAUCUCCGAUUUUUUCUACACCCUGCUGCUUUCGUAUGUGUAUAUAGAUACUCGAAGGAAGUUUUUGCUUUGAAAAAAAUAUUGCGUUCAACCCUUUUCACUCAAAGUGUCAAAAUUUAUAGACUUCUGAACUAUAUAUUAUAGAAGUUGAAAAACUUAUUAACUACAUUUGUUUUAACUACCACACGAUAAUGAUAUCAUAACAAGAAUGCAAAGGGUUGGAAACUGUUUAUUGGUCU